ACUGAUUUCUUCUGGUGUUUAGA
Molecule: microRNA, 23 nt
Filed under: Salmo salar (Atlantic salmon)
Lineage: Eukaryota; Metazoa; Chordata; Actinopteri; Salmoniformes; Salmonidae
Description: ssa-miR-29b-1-5p
Gene: ssa-miR-29b-1-5p
Source: miRBase by way of RNAcentral